UGCCAGCCGCCGCGGUAAUACGGAGGGUGCAAGCGUUAAUCGGAUUUAUUGGGUUUAAAGGGUGCGCAGGCGGGAAAUUAAGUCAGUGGUGAAAGCCCCGAGCUCAACUUGGGAACUGCCUUUGAUACUGUUUAUCUAGAGUCCGAGAGAGGUUAGUGGAAUUCCAAGUGUAGAGGUGAAAUUCGUAGAUAUUUGGAAGAACACCAGUGGCGAAGGCGGCUAACUGGCUCGGUACUGACGCUGAGAUGCGAAAGCGUGGGGAGCAAACAGGAUUAGAUA
RNAcentral lists this ribosomal RNA (279 nucleotides) under uncultured bacterium. Its description in RNAcentral is "partial 16S ribosomal RNA". It matches the Rfam family "Bacterial small subunit ribosomal RNA", at positions 506 to 784 of the family's 1533-position model. The record is from RNAcentral.